CAAAAUCGUGUGGUGGGAGCUAUGCAGCUAUAUUCUGUAGAUAGGAAAGUGUCUCAGCCCAUUGAAGGACAUGCAGCUAGCUUUGCACAGUUUAAGAUGGAAGGAAAUGCAGAAGAAUCAACGUUAUUUUGUUUUGCAGUUCGGGGCCAAGCUGGAGGGAAGUUACAUAUUAUUGAAGUUGGCACACCACCUACAGGGAACCAGCCCUUUCCAAAGAAGGCAGUAGAUGUUUUCUUUCCUCCAGAAGCACAAAAUGAUUUUCCUGUUGCAAUGCAGAUCAGUGAAAAGCAUGAUGUGGUAUUCUUGAUAACCAAGUAUGGUUAUAUCCACCUCUAUGAUCUUGAGACUGGUACCUGCAUCUACAUGAAUAGAAUCAGUGGAGAAACAAUUUUUGUUACUGCACCUCAUGAAGCCACAGCUGGAAUAAUUGGAGUAAACAGAAAGGGACAAGUAAGGAAACCUUGAAACUUAAGCAAUAAAAUAAGAUAACCUGAUGAGUUGGGAACAAUCCUGUACUUUUGAGAAAUUACCCCCCAAAAUAAUAAAAUAGAAAAUAAACACAUUACUGUUAGUUUUUUUCCAAAAAGUAAAUAGUAACUUUGGAUAUUAGAAAAUAAUAUAUAUCAAAGCAUGAUGUAAGCUGAUAAAAAAGAA
RNAcentral lists this small RNA (654 nucleotides) under Pongo abelii (Sumatran orangutan). RNAcentral's name for it is "retained intron". The record is from RNAcentral. Lineage: Eukaryota; Metazoa; Chordata; Mammalia; Primates; Hominidae.